UUGCGCCGAAGAUAAACGGGGCUAAACCUGAUACCGAAGCUUGGGAACUGCAUAGCAGUUGGUAGAGGAGCAUCGCGUACGGGCAGAAGCUGAGUCGUAAGGCUUGGUGGACUGUACGGGAGAGAGAAUGUUGGCAUGAGUAGCGAGAUGUGGGUGAGAAUCCCAUAGGCCGUAAACCCAAGGUUUCCAGGGGACGGUUCGUCC
Molecule: ribosomal RNA, 204 nt
Filed under: Acinetobacter baumannii
Lineage: Bacteria; Pseudomonadati; Pseudomonadota; Gammaproteobacteria; Moraxellales; Moraxellaceae
Description: partial 23S ribosomal RNA
Rfam family: Bacterial large subunit ribosomal RNA
Source: RNAcentral